This 253-nucleotide ribosomal RNA is filed under the name uncultured bacterium. Its description in RNAcentral is "partial 16S ribosomal RNA". It matches the Rfam family "Bacterial small subunit ribosomal RNA", at positions 524 to 776 of the family's 1533-position model. The record is from RNAcentral.
UACGUGGGGGGCUAGCGUUGUCCGGAUUUAUUGGGCGUAAAGAGCGUGUAGGCGGCCAAGUAAGUCCGGUGUGAAAACUCGAGGCUUAACCUCGAGAUGUCAUCGGAAACUAUUUGGCUAGAGUCCGGAAGAGGAGAGUGGAAUUCCUGGUGUAGCGGUGAAAUGCGCAGAUAUCAGGAAGAACACCUAUGGCGAAAGCAGCUCUCUGGGACGGUACUGACGCUGAGACGCGAAAGCGUGGGGAGCGAACAGG